UAUCUGUCGUGGGCGUAGGAAAUUUGAGAGGAGCUGUCCUUAGUACGAGAGGACCGGGAUGGACGUACCGCUGGUGUACCAGUUGUUCCGCCAGGAGCACGGCUGGGUAGCUAUGUACGGAAGGGAUAAGCGCUGAAAGCAUCUAAGCGUGAAGCCCCCCUCAAGAUGAGAUUUCCCAAUACGUAAGACCCCUUGAAGACGACGAGGUAGAUAGGUUGGGGGUGGAAGUGCAGUAAUGCAUGGAGCUGACCAAUACUAAUCGGUCGAGGGCUUAUCCUAAA
This 281-nucleotide ribosomal RNA is filed under the name Paenibacillus polymyxa. Its description in RNAcentral is "partial 23S ribosomal RNA". It matches the Rfam family "Bacterial large subunit ribosomal RNA", at positions 2639 to 2925 of the family's 2925-position model. The record is from RNAcentral. Lineage: Bacteria; Bacillati; Bacillota; Bacilli; Caryophanales; Paenibacillaceae.